Molecule: ribosomal RNA, 255 nt
Filed under: uncultured bacterium
Lineage: Bacteria
Description: partial 16S ribosomal RNA
Rfam family: Bacterial small subunit ribosomal RNA
Source: RNAcentral
CGGACGGGUGAGUAACGCGUGGGUAACCUGCCUCAUACGGGGGGAUAACAGUUAGAAAUGACUGCUAAUACCGCAUAAGCGCACAGAAUCGCAUGAUUCGGUGUGAAAAACUCCGGUGGUAUGAGAUGGACCCGCGCCUGAUUAGCUAGUUGGUGGGGUAAAGGCCUACCAAGGCGACGAUCAGUAGCCGACCUGAGAGGGUGAUCGGCCACAUUGGGACUGAGACACGGCCCAAACUCCUACGGAAGGCAGCAG